AGGUGAUAUGAACCGUUAUAACCGGCGAUACCCGAAUGGGGAAACCCAGUGUGACUCGUCACACUAUCAUUAACUGAAUCCAUAGGUUAAUGAGGCGAACCGGGGGAACUGAAACAUCUAAGUACCCCGAGGAAAAGAAAUCAACCGAGAUUCCCCCAGUAGCGGCGAGCGAACGGGGAGGAGCCCAGAGCCUGAAUCAGCAUGUGUGUUAGUGGAAGCGUCUGGAAAGGCGCGCGAUACAGGGUGACAGCCCCGUACACAAAAGCGCAUGUGCUGUGAGCUCGAUGAGUAGGGCGGGACACGUGGUAUCCUGUCUGAAUAUGGGGGGACCAUCCUCCAAGGCUAAAUACUCCUGACUGACCGAUAGUGAACCAGUACCGUGAGGGAAAGGCGAAAAGAACCCCGGCGAGGGGAGUGAAAAAGAACCUGAAACCGUGUACGUACAAGCAGUGGGAGCACCCUUUGGGUGUGACUGCGUACCUUUUGUAUAAUGGGUCAGCGACUUAUAUUCUGUAGCAAGGUUAACCGAAUAGGGGAGCCGGAGGGAAACCGAGUCUUAACCGGGCGUUAAGUUGCAGGGUAUAGACCCGAAACCCGGUGAUCUAGCCAUGGGCAGGUUGAAGGUUGGGUAACACUAACUGGAGGACCGAACCGACUAAUGUUGAAAAAUUAGCGGAUGACCUGUGGCUGGGGGUGAAAGGCCAAUCAAACCGGGAGAUAGCUGGUUCUCCCCGAAAGCUAUUUAGGUAGCGCCUCGUGAAUUCAUCUCCGGGGGUAGAGCACUGUUUCGGCUAGGGGGCCAUCCCGGCUUACCAACCCGAUGCAAACUGCGAAUACCGGAGAAUGUUAUCACGGGAGACACACGGCGGGUGCUAACGUCCGUCGUGAAGAGGGAAACAACCCAGACCGCCAGCUAAGGUCCCAAAGUCAUGGUUAAGUGGGAAACGAUGUGGGAAGGCCCAGACAGCCAGGAUGUUGGCUUAGAAGCAGCCAUCAUUUAAAGAAAGCGUAAUAGCUCACUGGUCGAGUCGGCCUGCGCGGAAGAUGUAACGGGGCUAAACCAUGCACCGAAGCUGCGGCAGCGACACUGUGUGUUGUUGGGUA
RNAcentral lists this ribosomal RNA (1104 nucleotides) under Salmonella enterica subsp. enterica serovar Enteritidis. Its description in RNAcentral is "partial 23S ribosomal RNA". It matches the Rfam family "Bacterial large subunit ribosomal RNA", at positions 84 to 1230 of the family's 2925-position model. Lineage: Bacteria; Pseudomonadati; Pseudomonadota; Gammaproteobacteria; Enterobacterales; Enterobacteriaceae. The record is from RNAcentral.